UGCACAAAAGGACCGUAUUAGCUAAUCUGC
RNAcentral lists this non-coding RNA (30 nucleotides) under Mus musculus (house mouse). Lineage: Eukaryota; Metazoa; Chordata; Mammalia; Rodentia; Muridae. The record is from RNAcentral.